RNAcentral lists this long non-coding RNA (392 nucleotides) under Gallus gallus (chicken). Lineage: Eukaryota; Metazoa; Chordata; Aves; Galliformes; Phasianidae. The record is from RNAcentral.
GGUUUGCAGCGCAGAGCUAAAGAGAAAAACAAAGUGGGGAAGGGCGCAAACAUCAGGGAUUUGGGCUCGAUUUAUUGGGCGAGAGCUCGCCCUAGCGGCCCUCGAGCAUCAUUUCCAUUUGGUAAACCACGUCUGGUGCCAUGGCUUUACAUUCAAACACCAAGCCUUGCUGCUGCUUUUAAGAAGUAUUUCACCUUCAUGUUUUCCACGGGUUUCUGUAAUCAAUGUGUGAAUUGCAACCUUUGGUUGUACAAGAGCUAAAUAACUGAGAAUUAUUUGUUAGAACGAAUCAGCAGAGCACAUUGCCUUUGUGUGUUCAUCCCCAUGAGGACAGCAUUAAGACUGGAAAGAGCCGUUUCUCAGGGGAGAAGAUAUUUUCCUGGCUGCUUGUG